UAGGGAAUCUUCGGCAAUGGGGGCAACCCUGACCGAGCAACGCCGCGUGAGUGAAGAAGGUUUUCGGAUCGUAAAGCUCUGUUGUAAGAGAAGAACGUGUGUGAGAGUGGAAAGUUCACACAGUGACGGUAACUUACCAGAAAGGGACGGCUAACUACGUGCCAGCAGCCGCGGUAAUACGUAGGUCCCGAGCGUUGUCCGGAUUUAUUGGGCGUAAAGCGAGCGCAGGCGGUUUAAUAAGUCUGAAGUUAAAGGCAGUGGCUUAACCAUUGUUCGCUUUGGAAACUGUUAAACUUGAGUGCAGAAGGGGAGAGUGGAAUUCCAUGUGUAGCGGUGAAAUGCGUAGAUAUAUGGAGGAACACCGGUGGCGAAAGCGGCUCUCAGGUCUGUAACUGACGCUGAGGCUCGAAAGCGUGGGGAGCAAACAGG
This 429-nucleotide ribosomal RNA is filed under the name bacterium. RNAcentral describes it as "partial 16S ribosomal RNA". It matches the Rfam family "Bacterial small subunit ribosomal RNA", at positions 355 to 776 of the family's 1533-position model. The record is from RNAcentral.